This 825-nucleotide ribosomal RNA is filed under the name Cercospora apii. RNAcentral's name for it is "eukaryotic LSU rRNA". It matches the Rfam family "Eukaryotic large subunit ribosomal RNA", at positions 71 to 925 of the family's 3401-position model. Lineage: Eukaryota; Fungi; Ascomycota; Dothideomycetes; Mycosphaerellales; Mycosphaerellaceae. The record is from RNAcentral. RNAcentral also lists the same sequence under 1 other name.
GGGAUUGCCCUAGUAACGGCGAGUAAAGCGGCAACAGCUCAAAUUUGAAAUCUGGCGCAAGCCCGAGUUGUAAUUUGUAGAGGAUGCUUCUGGGUAGCGACCGAUCUAAGUUCCUUGGAACAGGACGUCAUAGAGGGUGAGAAUCCCGUAUGUGACCGGCCCGCACCCUUUACGUAGCUCCUUCGACGAGUCGAGUUGUUUGGGAAUGCAGCUCUAAAUGGGAGGUAAAUUUCUUCUAAAGCUAAAUACCGGCCAGAGACCGAUAGCGCACAAGUAGAGUGAUCGAAAGAUGAAAAGUACUUUGGAAAGAGAGUUAAAAAGCACGUGAAAUUGUUGAAAGGGAAGCGCCUGCAACCAGACUUCGCGGCAGUGUUCCGCCGGUCUUCUGACCGGUUCAUUCUCUGUCGCGAGGCCAUCAUCGUCUGGGCCCGCCGGAUAAGACCUGAGGAAUGUGGCUCCCCCUCGGGGGAGUGUUAUAGCCUCUGGUGAUGCGGCGUGGCUCGGGCGAGGUCCGCGCUUCGGCAAGGAUGAUGGCGUAAUGGUUGUCGGCGGCCCGUCUUGAAACACGGACCAAGGAGUCUAACAUCUAUGCGAGUGUUCGGGUGUCAAACCCCUACGCGUAAUGAAAGUGAACGGAGGUGGGAACCGCAAGGUGCACCAUCGACCGAUCCUGAUGUCCUCGGAUGGAUUUGAGUAAGAGCAUAGCUGUUGGGACCCGAAAGAUGGUGAACUAUGCCUGAAUAGGGUGAAGCCAGAGGAAACUCUGGUGGAGGCUCGCAGCGGUUCUGACGUGCAAAUCGAUCGUCAAAUUUGGGUAUAGGGGCG